Long non-coding RNA from Magnolia sinica, 943 nucleotides. RefSeq lists it as uncharacterized. The record is from RefSeq and is a predicted model, not a curated record. The transcript is spliced from 3 exons. Lineage: Eukaryota; Viridiplantae; Streptophyta; Magnoliopsida; Magnoliales; Magnoliaceae.
AUCUCUCUCUCUCUCUCUCUCUCUCUCUCUCUCUCUCUCUCUGUAUGUAUGUAUAAACUUGUAUAGGUCCACAUGCAUUUAUGCAUAGCCCAUUUAUGUAGGUUUAGAUGUGUUUAUGUAUGCAUAUGUAACAUGUUCAUGUGUAUGCAAUAUGCAGACAAACAUGGAUAAUUGGAUAUUGUAUAUAUACCUAGUUUUCUUUCUAAGUGACUGUAGAUAAAAAGUCUUUUGGGGACAAAAGUGGAGUGGCUUUAUUAUAUAUUUCAAGCAUUUAAUGCUGGUGAUUUGGUUCGUUAUCAAGAACUCUGCCAUGUCCAUAGCGCUGCUCUUAGUGCACAGCCUGCGUUAGUUGAGAAUGAGAAGAAAUUACUAGAGAAAAUUAACAUUAUUUGUUUGAUGGAAAUCAUCUUCAGUUUGGGUAUCUAUGAACAGUAUCAGGAGCAAUGGGAUGAUCUAUUGCAACCCCAUGUGUUGUGGGUUUGUUGUAUAUGAAGUUCGAUCAAUAAUGGUAACUCCCUCUCCUUUUUGUUGCAUUGUAAAACAAAAUGCAUUUGCUUAGUUUGCUGGUUGCAGGUGGUUUAGUUGAAAAUCAUAUCUACUUUGUAAACCAUGUCAAUAUUUUUGGAGGUAAGUUGUUCCCAAGCUUCAAAUUUCACUGGGUUUCGAUUUGUUUCGUGUAUUUUCCACAAAUUUAGUUGGUAUUUUGAAUAGCCGAAUGUUUAUUUCGUCUUUGCUAUUGCAGAUUUUGCUUAUUCAGAAAUGAGAAGAUAAGUGUAUGCUCCCAAGUAUUUUCUUUCUUUUUUAUGUUAUCUCGUCGUCGUCUUUCUCUAUAAUUUAGUUCUUCAGUUUCGAGGCAUAGCUUUUUCAUAUGACUACAUUGUUUGUAUGAUGAGAUUGAUUUUCAGCCAUGUGUAGUAAGCUUUCGGAUCAAAGCGAAGCUGAC